RNAcentral lists this long non-coding RNA (833 nucleotides) under Mytilus galloprovincialis (Mediterranean mussel). Lineage: Eukaryota; Metazoa; Mollusca; Bivalvia; Mytilida; Mytilidae. The record is from RNAcentral.
CCUCUGGUAUCUUUUUUCCCUCUUUUACCUUUAACAACAUUAAAAUACAAGUUUUUAGCCUCUUUAAAUUGUUAUAGACUGGAUUUUUUUUAAUUGAAAAAACACUGAAUUUUAUAUAUCUAUGUAUCAAACCUAGAAAUAUUAAAAUAAAUUGAGUAAUUUUUAAAUGCUUGUGGUUAUUUAGACCAAAAAAAAGAUUUCUUCAGGAAUAAGUUUAGAUAUUUACAAUCAAUGAGAUAUUGUAGCAAUUGUAUAAGAAAAAAAGAAAAAAAUCAAAGUCUCAAUUUAUUUUACUGUUUUCAAAUUGAUAGAAAAAAUUUGGUUAAGGUGGUACAUUACAAUAAAAUGAGAGUUAUCUCCCUGUUGUGUUAUGUACCACCUUAAGCAAGAUAUCCAGAAUUAUGGCCUUCAUAUAUGAUUUGUUGAACCGUGUUGACCUAAGUAAAGAAAAUAAUUAACUUUGUAGCAAUAAUAGGGAUGAAGUUAAUAGCAAGUCAUGACAAUUUAAAAAAAAUCUGAGUAAAUUCCGUUUCCUUUCACUCAAGUUUUUAAAUAUGCAUUUGCAUGAUUAGUACCAGUCCUGUUCAUAUUUGAAAAAAAAGAAGUAUGGAACCUUGCAUUAUUUUUUGGACAUUAAAUUUCUAGUUAUCAGUUUCUGGUUAUGUACAGGUACAUAUUGACUGUUUGUUGAACACACCAUUAAUAUAUAUCAAGUGUCAAAAGAAUGUAGUUAAAAUUUCAUCCUGAAAUAUUGUAUUGUAAAUAUUGCUAUAUUUCACUGUAGAUUAAUGAAAAUCAGCAUUUUAUUAUUGUAUAAAAAUGUGAUAUUGACU